UACGUAGGCAGCAAGCGUUGUUCGGAGUUACUGGGCGUAAAGGGUGUGUAGGCGGGCCUUUAAGUCUGGGGUGAAAUCUCCGAGCUCAACUCGGAAACUGCCCUGGAUACUAUUGGUCUUGAAUUAUGUUGAGGUUGGCGGAAUAUAACAUGUAGCGGUGAAAUGCAUAGAUAUGUUAUAGAACACCGAUUGCGAAGGCAGCUAACUAAGCAUAUAUUGACGCUGAGGCACGAAAGCGUGGGGAUCAAACAGG
RNAcentral lists this ribosomal RNA (253 nucleotides) under uncultured bacterium. RNAcentral describes it as "partial 16S ribosomal RNA". It matches the Rfam family "Bacterial small subunit ribosomal RNA", at positions 524 to 776 of the family's 1533-position model. The record is from RNAcentral.